UGCAGGUACUUGGUUCCCUGAUAUUUGAUUAAAAGUUCAUGGUUGACUAUUUGACUUGAUCAAAUACAGACUCUUACAAGCGUACUGUUCAAUUUGGGGUUUCACUUUUUUAGUGGACAUGAAUUACUUUUGCUUUGCCCACCCAAAGUUAGAAAAAUAAAUUGGAAAUAGUUGAAUCAGUAUCAGUUUUAAGAUAAGAAGUUCUCAUAAAUAAAAUGUGUGAAUAUGCAUGCGAAUCUAGAAAUAAGUUCCAUUUCAAAGAGAGUUGGAAGCAUGUUGAGUGGAUUUGCGGAGUAUCACUUUCAAAAAUGUAAAUUGAAGAAGUUUCUUCGGUCACAUUCUUCGUUGUGCAGUUAUGUAAAUGGGAUAAACUUGCUUCAUUUCUACUGUCUUAUGCAUUAAUUGUGUGGAAUGUAGAAUUGAUCAACAAUUUUCUUUCCACCAUCAUGAACAUUUUGCAGACAUGUGGAAACAGAUAGUUGGGACCCCAAGCAUGGAUGGUCUUGUGAAAAGACCUGAUCUUUUAUCCUUUUACAUUGCUAGUAAAAUACCUGUGUCUGAAUCCACAAGGCAGGAGCUUUUGGAGAUUGAUGGCAUUUCACAUCGCCUGCAACGGGAAAUUGAUUUACUAAAAAG
RNAcentral lists this unclassified non-coding RNA (636 nucleotides) under Hevea brasiliensis (rubber tree). The record is from RNAcentral. Lineage: Eukaryota; Viridiplantae; Streptophyta; Magnoliopsida; Malpighiales; Euphorbiaceae.